GGCCAGACUCCUACGGGAGGCAGCAGUGGGGAAUAUUGCACAAUGGGGGGAACCCUGAUGCAGCGACGCCGCGUGGGUGAAGGAGUAUUUCGGUAUGUAAAGCCCUAUCAGCAGGGAAGAACAAUGACGGUACCUGACUAAGAAGCACCGGCUAAAUACGUGCCAGCAGCCGCGGUAAUACGUAUGGUGCAAGCGUUAUCCGGAUUUACUGGGUGUAAAGGGAGCGUAGACGGCAGUGCAAGUCUGAAGUGAAAGGCGGGGGCCCAACCCCCGAACUGCUUUGGAAACUGUGCUGCUGGAGUGCAGGAGAGGCAAGUGGAAUUCCUAGUGUAGCGGUGAAAUGCGUAGAUAUUAGGAGGAACACCAGUGGCGAAGGCGUCUUACUGGACCGAAACUGACGUUGAGGCUCGAAAGCGUGGGGAGCAAACAGGAUUAGAUACCCUAGUA
RNAcentral lists this ribosomal RNA (447 nucleotides) under uncultured bacterium. RNAcentral describes it as "bacterial SSU rRNA". It matches the Rfam family "Bacterial small subunit ribosomal RNA", at positions 329 to 792 of the family's 1533-position model. The record is from RNAcentral.